RNAcentral lists this ribosomal RNA (690 nucleotides) under Xanthomonas sp. RSBAUOCAS0009B. Its description in RNAcentral is "bacterial SSU rRNA". It matches the Rfam family "Bacterial small subunit ribosomal RNA", at positions 63 to 746 of the family's 1533-position model. The record is from RNAcentral. Lineage: Bacteria; Pseudomonadati; Pseudomonadota; Gammaproteobacteria; Lysobacterales; Lysobacteraceae.
CCAGGUACCCGUAGAGCUUGCUCUUACGGGUGGAGAGUGGCGGACGGGUGAGGAAUACAUCGGAAUCUACUUUUUCGUGGGGGAUAACGUACGGAAACUUACGCUAAUACCGCAUACGACCUCCGGGUGAAAGCAGGGGACCUUCGGGCCUUGCGCGAUUAAAUGAGCCGAUGUCGGAUUACCUAGUUGGCGGGGUAAAGGCCCACCAAGGCGACGAUCCGUAGCUGGUCUGAGAGGAUGAUCAGCCACACUGGAACUGAGACACGGUCCAGACUCCUACGGGAGGCAGCAGUGGGGAAUAUUGGACAAUGGGCGCAAGCCUGAUCCAGCCAUACCGCGUGGGUGAAGAAGGCCUUCGGGUUGUAAAGCCCUUUUGUUGGGAAAGAAAAGCAGUCGGUUAAUACCCGAUUGUUCUGACGGUACCCAAAGAAUAAUCACCGGCUAACUUCGUGUCAGCAUCCGCGGAAAUACGAAGGGUGCAAGCGUUACUCGGAAUUACUGGGCGUAAAGCGUGCGUAGGUGGUUGCUUAAGUCUGUUGUGAAAGCCCUGGGCUCGACCUGGGAAUCGCAGUGCAUACUGCAUGACUAGAGUGUGUUAAAGGGGAGCGCAAUUCCCGGUGUAGCAGUGAAUGCGUAGAGAUCGGGAGGAACAUCUGUGGCGAAGGCGGCUACCUGGACCACACCUGAUAC